GAUGAACGCUAGCUACAGGCUUAACACAUGCAAGUCGAGGGGAAACGAUAUUGGAAGCUUGCUUCUGAUAGGCGUCGACCGGCGCACGGGUGAGUAACGCGUAUCCAACCUGCCCAUCACUUGGGGAUAACCUUGUGAAAGUAAGACUAAUACCCAAUGACGUCUCUAGAAGACAUCUGAAAGAGAUUAAAGAUUUAUCGGUGAUGGAUGGGGAUGCGUCUGAUUAGCUUGUUGGCGGGGUAACGGCCCACCAAGGCGACGAUCAGUAGGGGUUCUGAGAGGAAGGUCCCCCACAUUGGAACUGAGACACGGUCCAAACUCCUACGGGAGGCAGCAGUGAGGAAUAUUGGUCAAUGGACGAGAGUCUGAACCAGCCAAGUAGCGUGCAGGAUGACGGCCCUAUGGGUUGUAAACUGCUUUUAUAAGGGAAUAAAGUGGGAGUCGUGACUCUUUUUGCAUGUACCUUUAUGAAUAAGGACCGGCUAAUUCCGUGCCAGCAG
RNAcentral lists this ribosomal RNA (500 nucleotides) under uncultured bacterium. Its description in RNAcentral is "bacterial SSU rRNA". It matches the Rfam family "Bacterial small subunit ribosomal RNA", at positions 28 to 514 of the family's 1533-position model. The record is from RNAcentral.